GUUUUAAUAAUUUAUAUAAAAUAUUGGUCUUGUAAACCAAAAAUAAGAUUGUUUCUUUUAAAACU
Molecule: transfer RNA, 65 nt
Filed under: Canthidium sp. DPP-2018
Lineage: Eukaryota; Metazoa; Arthropoda; Insecta; Coleoptera; Scarabaeidae
Description: tRNA-Thr
Rfam family: tRNA
About the family: Transfer RNA (tRNA) molecules are approximately 80 nucleotides in length. Their secondary structure includes four short double-helical elements and three loops (D, anti-codon, and T loops).
Source: RNAcentral